AGGAUGAACGCUAGCGGCAGGCCUAAUACAUGCAAGUCGAACGAUACCAGAGAGCUUGCUUUCUGGGAAAGUGGCGCACGGGUGCGUAACGCGUAUGCAACCUACCUUAAUCAGGGGGGAUAGCCUCUCGAAAGAGAGAUUAACACCGCAUAAAAUCACAGGCUGGCAUCAGCAAAUGAUCAAAUAUUUAUAGGAUUAAGAUGGCAUGCGUGACAUUAGUUAGUUGGUGAGGUAACGGCUCACCAAGACGAUGAUGUCUAGGGGAUCUGAGAGGAUCGACCCCCCACACGUGGUACUGAGACACGGACCAGGACUCCGUACGGGAGGCAGCAAGUAAGGAAUAGUUGGUACAAGUGGAGACAACGUCUAGAACCAGCCAGUCGCCGCGU
Molecule: ribosomal RNA, 389 nt
Filed under: uncultured soil bacterium
Lineage: Bacteria
Description: bacterial SSU rRNA
Rfam family: Bacterial small subunit ribosomal RNA
Source: RNAcentral